Molecule: ribosomal RNA, 493 nt
Filed under: uncultured bacterium
Lineage: Bacteria
Description: partial 16S ribosomal RNA
Rfam family: Bacterial small subunit ribosomal RNA
Source: RNAcentral
GACGAACGCUGGCGGCGUGCUUAACACAUGCUAGUCGAACGCUGAAGCCCUUUCGGGGGUGGAUGAGUGGCGAACGGGUGAGUAACACGUGGGUAAUCUGCCCUGUACUUCGGGAUAAGCCUUGGAAACGGGGUCUAAUACCGGAUAGGACCUGUCCUCGCAUGGGGGUGGGUGGAAAGUUCCGGCGGUAUGGGAUGAGCCCGCGGCCUAUCAGCUUGUUGGUGGGGUAGUGGCCUACCAAGGCGACGACGGGUAGCCGGCCUGAGAGGGUGACCGGUACCGCUGGGACGGCGACACGGCCCAGACUACUACGGGGGGCAGCAGUUGGGAAUCUUGCGCGAUGGGCGAAAGCCUGACGCAGCAACGCCGCGUGGGGGAUGACGGCCUUCGGGUUGUAAACCUCUUUCGACAUCGACGAAGGGGCCCUGUUGUGGGGUUUUGACGGUAGGUGUAGAAGAAGCACCGGCUAACUACGUGCCAGCCGCCGCCGUAA